UCCCCUAUAGUGUAGUGGUUUAGCAUAUCAGAUUUUCAGGGGCGCAGCUCAUACUGAAAUUCUCUGACGACCCGGGUUCAAACCCCGGUGGGGGAA
Molecule: non-coding RNA, 96 nt
Organism: Podospora aff. communis PSN243
Lineage: Eukaryota; Fungi; Ascomycota; Sordariomycetes; Sordariales; Podosporaceae
Source: the annotation of a GenBank genome assembly